Long non-coding RNA from Vespa velutina, 2366 nucleotides. RefSeq lists it as uncharacterized. The transcript has 5 exons. NCBI's taxonomy places the organism in Eukaryota, Metazoa, Arthropoda, Insecta, Hymenoptera, Vespidae. The record is from RefSeq and is a predicted model, not a curated record.
ACAGCCAUCGCCACUUUCACUUGUAGUUGAUAUUUUGUCUAUGUCGCUAUAGUCAUGCACGCUUUUUGUGAAAGAUGAGAUAGGUUUUUAAGAUUAAUAUUUCUUUCUUUAUUUGUCGAACGGCGUAUUCUUUCAAAGUUUUUAGUUAAGAAAUUAAAAACUAACCUCUAAAUAUGGGUUUAACCGAAAACUUUUAAUUUAAAUAAGAAAUCAAGAAAUAAAGCAGAUGAAAUUAUUUUUAAAAUAAAGCAUAACAACUUGAAGAAGCUGGUACUGAAGUUACGGAACCUUUCCAUUAUAUUAUUCGUUCUAAUUAAUUGGUUUUAUUAAUAAUACUACUUACUCUUAAUGAUCAUUUUUAUUAGCUAUUUUUAUUUCCAAAACACAUGUUAUUUUAGACGGACAUUUAGUAGGACGUUUUUACUUGGUAUGAAGCAGUGUUACAAGUGAAUGAACUAUAUUUAUCAUUGAAAGAGGAUCAUAAUAAAGUCUGGAAAACCAUAUUGUUAAAAUGUGAAAAAACCAAAAGAUUUCUAUAAAGAAUAAUAACGGAUCUGAGUUACAAUCGUGCAGAGAAUUGACAAAAUAUUUUGAAUGAAAUAUCCUAUUAAUUGAAUUGGCCAACCAUUGAUGCUCAGUAAUCUGUUACUUCAUUUAAGAACAAAAGAUGAUGACGUCGAUUCAGAAAUAUAUCAUUAUGUACUGGAUUAUUACUAUGUUAAGAAAAUGAAUCCAACAGAGGAAUAUUCCAUUGUGCAAUAGAUUGAACUGGCUUUUAAAUUGGUCUUCAACGAGAAUGUCGCAAAAUUCAAACUUCCAUGACUACUGAAUUUUCAAUGAAUAAGAACGGUUGUUAUUCACAUAAAAUUUGAAAAGAAAAAUAUUUUUCAGGAAUAUCAUUCGAUAAUAUGUUUUCGUCAGUUAGUCGAUGGUUUUUCUAUCGAAAGAUUCAUUCUGCAUACAAAGAUUGAGAAAAACAGGAGAACUAUUCAAGAGAUCAUUAGAAUCAUCUUAAAGGAUAUUGAAGAACAUAGCUGUAGUAAAUAUGCAAAGAUAAAAACAGAGUAAAUUUAUCCUAUCAAAUCUACCAGCCUAAUAACAAUCCUAGAGGAGAAGGAAAGCAGUUUACUACAAAUGAUGCUUAAGGAGAAUUGCCACUGAAGAUUGUGUGGAAAUCAAUGAUAAGAGAGCUCAUGUUGGUUAACUGGAAUAGAGUUUCGUUUCAUUGAUCAUACGGAACAUAUUUUCUGCUAAUUGAAUGUGGAAAUUGCUUUGUUUCAUGAUGGUAGAACGAUUGUUGAUGAAAGAAGAAUAAGAUGUGGACUACGUUCUUGUAUUAAUCCUGCUAUGGCAAUCUAUUCUCAUACGUACGUUUAUCUAUUCAAUGGACCAAUUUAGCUUUGUUCCCAAUCUUUUUAUGGAAAAGAACAAAAAAUCCACUAAAACAUCAUCGAAGAUUCGAGAGAUUGAUAUUUACAAUUAUGAUAGUAGAAAGCGUUAACCAAAGCAUUGGCUUAUUUAAGAUUUUUAUUUGACAAUAAGUUAAACGAUUGGAACGAAUAAGUGAUUAAAUUUAUUAUAAUCCUAGUGUUAGGUUUUUCAUUAACUAAUUAUUUAUUAUAUUGUGAACAAAAUCUCGCUCACUGAAUACGUAAGCCAUCGUUUUAAUAUCUAUAACAUUAAACGCCGAGAAAAUUUUCAUCAGCGAAUUCGACAUUUAUUAUUAUUUUUUUCUUUUUCUUUUAAGAGUUCGGUAUUUUUUCUUAAAAACGUUUUCCUUAUCAAUAGGUCUCAGUGUAGCUUGAACUUAUUCGAAGGAUAUGCCAAUUAUUUCGGCAAAAUAUACGGGAAGUCGAAUUAAAAGAAGUAAGCGAAUAGAUGAUUGCCGGAUUGUGUUCUCGAAUAUCUGAAGGAGGAAUGAAUUAAAGAGUCAGCUGAAGGUUCAUUUCAUUUAACGUGUAUGAUUCAUUCAGUCGUUAGGAACAAAAUAAGAAUUAGUUUUAUCAAUUACAUUUGAACGUUUUUAACAUAUAAUAAAAUAAAAGUUGUUAUCAAACAAAGACUUAAAAUCGCAUUUUUUCAAUAACUAUCGAUUUAAAAUGGAAAAAAUAAUACCAUUGUAAAAAGAAUGAAAAGACGUUUCAAAUGAUAUGCCUCUCGUCUCCUUUUGCCAUUUAAAAUUUUUGAGAUGGUUGUCAUCCCCUUAGGAAGUUAACCUAAAGAAAAAUGGAUUUAUUAUAAGGACUUAUCCCUCUCGAAGACAAUAUUGACCAGAUCUGGCAUUUUUUGAAAAUGUCAUUAGAUUUUAUAAUAAUCCUGGUUGACACUUUUCGUUUGGACACUCUGUAUAUGUAUGUAAGUUACAU